This 748-nucleotide ribosomal RNA is filed under the name uncultured bacterium. RNAcentral's name for it is "bacterial SSU rRNA". It matches the Rfam family "Bacterial small subunit ribosomal RNA", at positions 31 to 772 of the family's 1533-position model. The record is from RNAcentral.
GAACGCUGGCGGCAGGCCUAACACAUGCAAGUCGAGCGGAUGACGGGAGCUUGCUCCUUGAUUCAGCGGCGGACGGGUGAGUAAUGCCUAGGAAUCUGCUUGGUAGUGGGGGACAACGUUUCGAAAGGAACGCUAAUACCGCAUACCUUCCUACGGGAGAAAGCAGGGGACCUUCGGGCCUUGCGCUAUCAGAUGAGCCUAGGUCGGAUUAGCUAGUUGGUGGGGUAAUGGCUCACCAAGGCGACGAUCCGUAACUGGUCUGAGAGGAUGAUCAGUCACACUGGAACUGAGACACGGUCCAGACUCCUACGGGAGGCAGCAGUGGGGAAUAUUGGACAAUGGGCGAAAGCCUGAUCCAGCCAUGCCGCGUGUGUGAAGAAGGUCUUCGGAUUGUAAAGCACUUUAAGUUGGGAGGAAGGGCAGUAAGCUAAUACCUUGCUGUUUUGACGUUACCGACAGAAUAAGCACCGGCUAACUCUGUGCCAGCAGCCGCGGUAAUACAGAGGGUGCAAGCGUUAAUCGGAAUUACUGGGCGUAAAGCGCGCGUAGGUGGUUUGUUAAGUUGGAUGUGAAAGCCCCGGGCUCAACCUGGGAACUGCAUCCAAAACUGGCAAGCUAGAGUACGGUAGAGGGUGGGUGGAAUUUCCUGUGUAGCGGUGAAAUGCGUAGAUAUAGGAAGGAACACCAGUGGCGAAGGCGACCACCUGGACUGAUACUGACACUGAGGUGCGAAAGCGUGGGGAGCAAA